This 520-nucleotide ribosomal RNA is filed under the name uncultured archaeon. Its description in RNAcentral is "bacterial SSU rRNA". It matches the Rfam family "Archaeal small subunit ribosomal RNA", at positions 325 to 848 of the family's 1478-position model. The record is from RNAcentral.
ACGGGGUGCAGCAGGCGCGAAAACUUCGCAAUGCGCGAGAGCGUGACGAGGGGACCCCAAGUGUUCCGUCACAAACGGAACUUUUGUUUAGUGUAAAAAGCUAAACGAAUAAGGGCUGGGUAAGACUGGUGCCAGCCUCCGCGGUAACACCAGCAGCUCAAGUGGUGGCCACGUUUAUUGGGCUUAAAGCGUCCGUAGUCGGUUGCAUAAGUCCUCUGUGAAAUCCUUCAGCUCAACUGGGGGGCUUGCAGAGAAUACUAUGCGGCUAGAGGCCGGGAGAGGUUAGGGGUAUUCUCAGGGUACCGGUGAAAUGGUAUAAUCCUGGGAGGACCACCAGUAGCGAAGGCGCCUAACUGGAACGGGCCUGACGAUGAGGGACGAAAGCUAGGGGAGCGAACGGGAUUAGAUACCCCGGUAGUCCUAGCCGUAAACGAUGCAGACUGAGUGUUGCCUGAACUUAGGGUUCCGGCAGUGCUGAAGGGAAACCGUUAAGUCUGCCGCCUGGGAGUACGUCGCAAGG